Molecule: transfer RNA, 52 nt
Filed under: Cyrtodactylus cf. oldhami
Lineage: Eukaryota; Metazoa; Chordata; Lepidosauria; Squamata; Gekkonidae
Description: partial tRNA-Tyr
Source: RNAcentral
GGCCGAGUAGGUGGCAAGUUGUAGCCUUGCUUACGGGGCCACGCCCCCCCAG